AUUGAACGCUGGCGGCAGGCCUAACACAUGCAAGUCGAACGGUAACAGGAAGAAGCUUGCUUCUUUGCUGACGAGUGGCGGACGGGUGAGUAAUGUCUGGGAAACUGCCUGAUGGAGGGGGAUAACUACUGGAAACGGUAGCUAAUACCGCAUAACGUCGCAAGACCAAAAAGGGGGACCUUCGGGCCUCUUGCCAUCGGAUGUGCCCAGAUGGGAUUAGCUAGUAGGUGGGGUAACGGCUCACCUAGGCGACGAUCCCUAGCUGGUCUGAGAGGAUGACCAGCCACACUGGAACUGAGACACGGUCCAGACUCCUACGGGAGGCAGCAGUGGGGAAUAUUGCACAAUGGGCGCAAGCCUGAUGCAGCCAUGCCGCGUGUAUGAAGAAGGCCUUCGGGUUGUAAAGUACUUUCAGCGGGGAGGAAGGAAGUAAAGUUAAUACCUUUGCUCAUUGACGUUACCCGCAGAAGAAGCACCGGCUAACUCCGUG
This 490-nucleotide ribosomal RNA is filed under the name uncultured bacterium. RNAcentral's name for it is "partial 16S ribosomal RNA". It matches the Rfam family "Bacterial small subunit ribosomal RNA", at positions 30 to 507 of the family's 1533-position model. The record is from RNAcentral.